Molecule: ribosomal RNA, 97 nt
Filed under: uncultured Synechococcus sp.
Lineage: Bacteria; Bacillati; Cyanobacteriota; Cyanophyceae; Synechococcales; Synechococcaceae
Description: partial 23S ribosomal RNA
Source: RNAcentral
GUCAGCUACAAGGCUCACGGCGGAUACCUGGCACACGAGCAUUGAAGAACUGGUUACCUGCGAUAGUUCCGGGGCUGGAGCACGCUUGAUCGGAUUC